UACGUAGGGUGCGAGCGUUAAUCGGAAUUACUGGGCGUAAAGCGUGCGCAGGCGGUUAUUUAAGUCAGGUGUGAAAGCCCUGGGCUUAACCUAGGAAUUGCGCUUGAGACUGGAUAGCUUGGAGUGCGGCAGAGGGAGGUGGAAUUCCACGUGUAGCAGUGAAAUGCGCAGAUAUCAGGAGGAACACCAAUGGCGAAGGCAGCUCGCUGGGACGUGACUGACGCUGAGACGCGAAAGCGUGGGGAGCAAACAGG
Molecule: ribosomal RNA, 254 nt
Filed under: uncultured bacterium
Lineage: Bacteria
Description: partial 16S ribosomal RNA
Rfam family: Bacterial small subunit ribosomal RNA
Source: RNAcentral